This 216-nucleotide ribosomal RNA is filed under the name Glomeromycotina sp. Its description in RNAcentral is "partial small subunit ribosomal RNA". The stretch from base 40 to 216 matches the Rfam family "Eukaryotic small subunit ribosomal RNA", at positions 686 to 864 of the family's 1831-position model. Lineage: Eukaryota; Fungi; Glomeromycota. The record is from RNAcentral.
GGGUCAGUAGGUUGGUCGUGCCACCGGUACGUACUGGUCUCACUGAUUCCUCCUUCCUGAAGAACCGUAAUGCCAUUAAUUUGGUGUUGCGGGGAAACAGGACUGUUGCUUUGAAAAAAUUAGAGCGUUUAAAGCAAGCUAACGCUUGAAUACAUUAGCAUGGAAUAAUGAAAUAGGACGAUCGAUCCUAUUUUGUUGGUUUCUAGGAUUGACGUA